GGCACCGUGGCUUAGCUGGCAAAGCACCUGUCUCGUAAACAGGAGAUCCUGGGUUUCAAAUCCCAGUGGAGGCUA
Non-coding RNA from Triplophysa dalaica, 75 nucleotides. NCBI's taxonomy places the organism in Eukaryota, Metazoa, Chordata, Actinopteri, Cypriniformes, Nemacheilidae. The record is from the annotation of a RefSeq genome assembly.